GGAUAAUCUGCCCUCAGGUGAGGAAUAAUCCCGGGAAACUGGGGCUAAUGCCUCAUAGGAGACGGGUGCUGGAAUGCUCUGUCUCCGAAAGGUCCGCCGCCUGAGGAUGAGUCUGCGUCCGAUUAGGUUGUUGUUGGGGUAACGGCCCAACAAGCCUUUGAUCGGUACGGGUUGUGGGAGCAAGAGCCCGGAGAUGGAUUCUGAGACAUGAAUCCAGGCCCUACGGGGCGCAGCAGGCGCGAAAACUUUACAAUGCGAGCAAUCGUGAUAAGGAAACCCUGAGUGCCUGUCAAUGCAGGCUGUUCUGGUGUCUAACACACACCAGGAGAAAGGGCGGGGCAAGACCGGUGCCAGCCGCCGCGGUAAUACCGGCUGCUCGAGUGAUAGCCACUUUUACUGGGCUUAAAGCGUUCGUAGCUUGGUCGUUAAGUCUCUGGGGAAAUCUUUUGGCUCAACCAAGAGGCGUCUCAGGGAAACUGACGAUCUUGGAACCGGGAGAGGUAAGACGUACUUCGGGGGUAGGAGUGAAAUCUUGUAAUCCCCGAGGGACGACCGAUGGCGAAGGCAUCUUACCAGAACGGCUUCGACAGUGAGGGACGAAAGCUGGGGGAGCAAACCGGAUUAGAUACCCGGGUAGUCCCAGCCGUAAACGAUGUGCGUUAGGUGUGUCAGUGACCACGAGUCGCUGAGGUGCCGAAGGGAAACCGUGAAACGCACCGCCUGGGAAGUACGGUCGCAAGGCUGAAACU
This 749-nucleotide ribosomal RNA is filed under the name uncultured Methanocalculus sp. Its description in RNAcentral is "bacterial SSU rRNA". It matches the Rfam family "Archaeal small subunit ribosomal RNA", at positions 102 to 856 of the family's 1478-position model. The record is from RNAcentral. Lineage: Archaea; Methanobacteriati; Methanobacteriota; Methanomicrobia; Methanomicrobiales; Methanocalculaceae.